RNAcentral lists this ribosomal RNA (446 nucleotides) under uncultured organism. RNAcentral's name for it is "partial 16S ribosomal RNA". It matches the Rfam family "Bacterial small subunit ribosomal RNA", at positions 335 to 797 of the family's 1533-position model. The record is from RNAcentral.
ACUCCUGCGGGAGGCAGCAGUGGGGAAUCUUGCGCAAUGGGCGAAAGCCUGACGCAGCCAUGCCGCGUGAAUGAUGAAGGUCUUAGGAUUGUAAAAUUCUUUCACCGGGGACGAUAAUGACGGUACCCGGAGAAGAAGCCCCGGCUAACUUCGUGCCAGCAGCCGCGGUAAUACGAAGGGGGCUAGCGUUGCUCGGAAUUACUGGGCGUAAAGGGAGCGUAGGCGGACAUUUAAGUCAGGGGUGAAAUCCCGGGGCUCAACCUCGGAAUUGCCUUUGAUACUGGGUGUCUUGAGUAUGAGAGAGGUGUGUGGAACUCCGAGUGUAGAGGUGAAAUUCGUAGAUAUUCGGAAGAACACCAGUGGCGAAGGCGACACACUGGCUCAUUACUGACGCUGAGGCUCGAAAGCGUGGGGAGCAGACAGGAUUAGAUACCCGUGUAGUCCCA